This 1372-nucleotide ribosomal RNA is filed under the name uncultured bacterium. Its description in RNAcentral is "bacterial SSU rRNA". It matches the Rfam family "Bacterial small subunit ribosomal RNA", at positions 28 to 1381 of the family's 1533-position model. The record is from RNAcentral.
GAUGAACGCUGGCGGCGUGCCUAAUACAUGCAAGUCGAGCGAACAGACGAGGAGCUUGCCCCUCUGACGUUAGCGGCGGACGGGUGAGUAACACGUGGGUAACCUACCUAUAAGACUGGGAUAACUCCGGGAAACCGGGGCUAAUACCGGAUAAUACAUGAAACCGCAUGGUUUCAUGAUGAAAGACGGUUUUGCUGUCACUUAUAGAUGGACCCGCGGCGUAUUAGCUAGUUGGUAAGGUAACGGCUUACCAAGGCAACGAUACGUAGCCGACCUGAGAGGGUGAUCGGCCACACUGGAACUGAGACACGGUCCAGACUCCUACGGGAGGCAGCAGUAGGGUAUCUUCCGCAAUGGGCGAAAGCCUGACGGAGCAACGCCGCGUGAGUGAUGAAGGUCUUCGGAUCGUAAAACUCUGUUAUUAGGGAAGAACAAGGGUGUAAGUAACUAUGCACCCCUUGACGGUACCUAAUCAGAAAGCCACGGCUAACUACGUGCCAGCAGCCGCGGUAAUACGUAGGUGGCAAGCGUUAUCCGGAAUUAUUGGGCGUAAAGCGCGCGUAGGCGGUUUUUUAAGUCUGAUGUGAAAGCCCACGGCUCAACCGUGGAGGGUCAUUGGAAACUGGAAAACUUGAGUGCAGAAGAGGAAAGUGGAAUUCCAUGUGUAGCGGUGAAAUGCGCAGAGAUAUGGAGGAACACCAGUGGCGAAGGCGACUUUCUGGUCUGCAACUGACGCUGAUGUGCGAAAGCGUGGGGAUCAAACAGGAUUAGAUACCCUGGUAGUCCACGCCGUAAACGAUGAGUGCUAAGUGUUAGGGGGUUUCCGCCCCUUAGUGCUGCAGCUAACGCAUUAAGCACUCCGCCUGGGGAGUACGGCCGCAAGGCUGAAACUCAAAGGAGUUGACGGGGACCCGCACAAGCGGUGGAGCAUGUGGUUUAAUUCGAAGCAACGCGAAGAACCUUACCAAAUCUUGACAUCCUUUGACAACUCUAGAGAUAGAGCCUUCCCCUUCGGGGGACAAAGUGACAGGUGGUGCAUGGUUGUCGUCAGCUCGUGUCGUGAGAUGUUGGGUUAAGUCCCGCAACGAGCGCAACCCUUAAGCUUAGUUGCCAGCAUUAAGUUGGGCACCCUAAGUUGACUGCCGGUGACAAACCGGAGGAAGGUGGGGAUGACGUCAAAUCAUCAUGCCCCUUAUGAUUUGGGCUACACACGUGCUACAAUGGACGGUACAAAGGGCAGCGAACCCGCGAGGUCAAGCAAAUCCCAUAAAGCCGUUCUCAGUCCGGAUUGUAGUCUGCAACUCGACUACAUGAAGCUGGAAUCGCUAGUAAUCGUAGAUCAGCAUGCUACGGUGAAUACGUUCCCGGGUCU